This 389-nucleotide non-coding RNA is filed under the name Pongo abelii (Sumatran orangutan). Lineage: Eukaryota; Metazoa; Chordata; Mammalia; Primates; Hominidae. The record is from RNAcentral.
GCUCUUUGGAAUGUCCGGCGCCUGAGCGCCUGGGUUCUUUCGUUGGAGAGGGUCCCAUUUCCAGUCAUUCUUCAGCCUGGUGAUUCCCGCGCUCCCCUGAGGAGCAUAUGAAAAAUUAGGAUUACCGAAAAUACUGAAGAAAGACUACCUCUGAUUGGACUCUUCUCAAGGAAUUAAUAAUUCAAGAACUAAGGAAAGAAAAAAGUGAUUAUAUGAAAAUACUGAAGUUGAUCGUAGCAACUGAAGGCUGAUCCUGUGCUGAAGUACAUUGGUGCAAUCUUGGCUCACUACAUCUCUACCCCAAGUUCAAGCAAUUCUCCUGCCUCAGCCUCCCAAGCAGCUGGGAUUACAGGUUUUGCCUUUUCCAGAAUGUCACAUAAAUGGAAUCA